CGGGGGGAGCAAGCGUUGUUCGGAUUUACUGGGCGUAAAGGGCGCGUAGGCGGCACCGCAAGUCGUCUGUGAAAUCUCCGGGCUUAACUCGGAAAGGUCAGCCGAUACUGCGGGGCUAGAGUGCAGAAGGGGCAACUGGAAUUCUCGGUGUAGCGGUGAAAUGCGUAGAUAUCGAGAGGAACACCUGCGGCGAAGGCGGGUUGCUGGGCUGACACUGACGCUGAUGCGCGAAAGCUAGGGGAGCGAACGGGAUUAGAUACCCCGGUAGUCCUAGCCUUAAACGAUGAAUGCUUGGUGUCUGGGGUUUUAUAGUCCCCGGGUGCCGUCGCUAACGCUUUAAGCAUUCCGCCUGGGGAGUACGGUCGCAAGACUG
This 373-nucleotide ribosomal RNA is filed under the name uncultured organism. Its description in RNAcentral is "bacterial SSU rRNA". It matches the Rfam family "Bacterial small subunit ribosomal RNA", at positions 526 to 896 of the family's 1533-position model. The record is from RNAcentral.